This 253-nucleotide ribosomal RNA is filed under the name uncultured bacterium. Its description in RNAcentral is "partial 16S ribosomal RNA". It matches the Rfam family "Bacterial small subunit ribosomal RNA", at positions 524 to 776 of the family's 1533-position model. The record is from RNAcentral.
UACAGAGACUGCAAGCGUUAUUCGGAUUCACUGGGCGUAAAGGGUGCGCAGGCGGUUUGGUGUGUCAGAUGUGAAAUCCCGAGGCUCAACCUCGGAACUGCGUCUGAAACUACUCGACUAGAGUACUGGAGAGGGUAACGGAAUUCACGGUGUAGCAGUGAAAUGCGUAGAUAUCGUGAGGAACACCAGAGGCGAAGGCGGUUACCUGGACAGUUACUGACGCUCAGGCACGAAAGCAUGGGGAGCAAAAGGG